Platichthys flesus (European flounder) is the source of this 785-nucleotide long non-coding RNA. RefSeq lists it as uncharacterized. The transcript is spliced from 3 exons. NCBI's taxonomy places the organism in Eukaryota, Metazoa, Chordata, Actinopteri, Pleuronectiformes, Pleuronectidae. The record is from RefSeq and is a predicted model, not a curated record.
CUGGGACCAGUGUCUGGCGGAAGUAUUGUUUAGUUGUGCAAUAUGGAACAAUCCACUGUCUGAGUUUGUUGCUAUGUAUUCCGACUGUCUGCUGUUACACAAACGUCUGAUGUGCAGCAUCACACAGGACAACCAGGGUGUGCGGACUGGAAGACAAAUAAUUUCUCUGCCGCCACUUGAAAAAUGUCAGCGCUAACAAAGAGCCGACAGACAGAGGAGGCCCAGAGGCUGCGGAGCGUGGAGGGAGAGCUGCCUAAUCUGCCAUCUACACCUCUGCUAAGGGUCUCCAGCAUGCAGGCAUUUACAAAGAUCAAGUUCAGUUGUUCCGCACCUUGUUGCUGAGAUUUAUCUGGCCCGGGAGUCAUCCACAUUCCCCUUGACAGGACGGACACUGCGGCGCCCUGCCAACUGUGUAAAAGUCACUUUCCAACCGAGGUGCGUUUAGCCUCGACAGAUACAUUAACAUGCGUUGGCCUCAUGCCACCCUAUUAAUCUGCAGCUUGUUGGAUCACAUGUGGACUGAGCUGCUUCUCCCGGGGAACAACCCAACCAGCCGUGAUGCGGGUCCCUGAGUGUAAGCGCCACCUCAGACUUCCCCCCUAUGAGCUUAUUGGCUCUCCUCUAACAGAUGUCAUCUCAUGGGGCGAUCUGACAUCUGUGAUAGUCUUUUAAAAAGGGGCAACAGCAGAGUGGAAGGUUUUCUUUAACUUCAUAAACUGCUCUCUUAUCAUGUAUGAUAGUCAAAGAAAGGGUUUUAUUUAGUUCAGGAGGAUUCUUCACCAUCA